RNAcentral lists this ribosomal RNA (253 nucleotides) under uncultured bacterium. Its description in RNAcentral is "partial 16S ribosomal RNA". It matches the Rfam family "Bacterial small subunit ribosomal RNA", at positions 524 to 776 of the family's 1533-position model. The record is from RNAcentral.
UACAGAGGUCUCAAGCGUUGUUCGGAUUCAUUGGGCGUAAAGGGUGCGUAGGCGGCGCGGUAAGUCAGGUGUGAAAUCUCGGGGCUCAACCCCGAAACUGCACUUGAUACUGCGGUGCUCGAGUACUGGAGAGGAGAUUGGAAUUUACGGUGUAGCGGUGAAAUGCGUAGAUAUCGUAAGGAAGACCAGUGGCGAAGGCGGGUCUCUGGACAGUUCCUGACGCUGAGGCACGAAGGUCAGGGGAGCAAACGGG